Rhincodon typus (whale shark) is the source of this 312-nucleotide long non-coding RNA. RefSeq lists it as uncharacterized. Lineage: Eukaryota; Metazoa; Chordata; Chondrichthyes; Orectolobiformes; Rhincodontidae. The record is from RefSeq and is a predicted model, not a curated record. The transcript is spliced from 2 exons.
UCGCAAGUGCUGAAUUACAAUGCAUAUGCAAAGCAUCUAUUUUGAACUCCUUCAUGAGGUAUGGGCUUUUGCUCUGCCCCUUGGAUAAUGACACACCCCUGCCCAUACACAACAAGACCUAGAAAACAUCCAGGCCUGAUCAAUGCCUUUUUAAACUGAAUCAAACUUCAGCAACAGACUUGGGAGGAACAUAACAUUUGAAGCCAGAAGAGAGAAUUCAACAAGAAGACACAAAGCAAAAUCUCUGAUUUUUUUUUUAAAACGACAGCACAACAUUUAAAAUGUAUAAUAAAAAUCUCUUUUGAAAUAGUG